This 485-nucleotide ribosomal RNA is filed under the name Mantidactylus stelliger. RNAcentral describes it as "partial large subunit ribosomal RNA". It matches the Rfam family "Bacterial large subunit ribosomal RNA", at positions 1945 to 2597 of the family's 2925-position model. Lineage: Eukaryota; Metazoa; Chordata; Amphibia; Anura; Mantellidae. The record is from RNAcentral.
ACCGUGCAAAGGUAGCAUAAUCACUUGUUCUUUAAAUGGGGACUAGUAUCAACGGCAUCACGAGGGUUACACUGUCUCCUUUUUCUAAUCAGUAAAACUAAUCUCCCCGUGAAGAAGCGGGGAUACACUUAUAAGACGAGAAGACCCCAUGGAGCUUCAAACCCAACUUCACCCCUAAUUCUUAUAACCACUAAACCCUUAGGGCCCUACAUCGUUGGUUUUAGGUUGGGGCGACCACGGAGUAUAACAAAACCUCCGCAAUGAACGGGACUCUUCCCUUAUCUAAGAGAUACACCUCUAAGAAUUAAAAUAUUAACAUAAAAUGAUCCAUCUUUGAUCAAUGAACUAAGUUACCCUGGGGAUAACAGCGCAAUCCACUUCAAGAGCCCCUAUCGACAAGUGGGUUUACGACCUCGAUGUUGGAUCAGGGUAUCCCAGUGGUGCAGCAGCUACUAAUGGUUCGUUUGUUCAACGAUUAAAACCCU